This is a long non-coding RNA of Parus major (Great Tit), 5290 nucleotides long. RefSeq lists it as uncharacterized. The transcript is spliced from 2 exons. The record is from RefSeq and is a predicted model, not a curated record. NCBI's taxonomy places the organism in Eukaryota, Metazoa, Chordata, Aves, Passeriformes, Paridae.
UAACUUAAUAUAGUUGAAAUCUUAGCAGUCUAAUUCAAGAAUCAUUAUUAGUCUAGAUCUUUUGCAGGAAAAAAUAAAGAAAAAUAAUGAAGUUAAACUGCUUUACAAACACUUUUUAGCUUCUCCCCAUUUAGGGCAGUUAUUCUCCCCUUUGCACUGCUCCUUAGUGUCCCAAGGUCAGUGGUUUGCUUCUGGUGGGGUUGUCAGCAGUUGUAGUCCUGUCCUAGGAAGAACAAGAUGUUGAUAUUGAUGACUCCAUCUUCUUCAUUCUAGGAUCCACCAUUCAGGAUAAUUUUUCUACAUUUGCUGACACACUUUUACUCCUUUGCCUUUACUUUGUUGGUUUGCAGCUCCACGAGACAUCUGGAUUUAUAAUGUAUGGUGUAUUUUACAUGUACUGCAUACUGUUUUUUGUUCUCUUAGAUACCUCUAACCCCAGUUUUGUCCAGAUUUGCAUUUUGUUGCUGAUCAUGGCUGAGUUGCUCAUAGUUACCAGUGCCAAGUAGUCCUCAUCUCUUACCAUCCCAUAGCUGAAUUCCUCUAUAACACCUCUUGUGUUUUAAGGCACAGGCUCUCUUAUGGACCCUACUGUCUGACCAGGCCUGUAUCUCUUCAUACUACAUCCUUAUGUUAGUCAUGUAUGUAUCUCAGUACACAUUGAGUAACCACUUUUUUACAGCUAUCUGCAUGAAAAUAUCCUUGUUCAAAGACAAAUCAAAGUAAAACAAAUUAGAGGUAUUGAACUGGUCAGUUGGAGGAAUCACAAACACAGCUGUUCCAAUUGAAACAAAGAUGUAUUCAGACAAAGCACAGCUGACAAGCCUCAGGACUUGUGAAGCCUUGCAAAUUCAGUGUGAAGUUUAUGGCCUGUUGGUGGUAGUAGUAUGGCUGUAUUGCAGAGCUGUAAGAUUGCAGCUUCCAAAACUUUUAAAAAUGCACUGACUCUUCUUCCUGUACCCUGUGUACUGCUCUUAAUGCCUUCAAAACUUCCUUAACACCAUGGCAAUAUUUCAUGUCAGAGAAGAAGGAAGACCUUGUUGCUGAAGUCUGGUGUCUGUGAUCUGUCUGCUGUGUGAUCAGCAGUACUCAUUUAAAGAGGACUGAUGUUUCAGUGUUUCCAUGCUUGCCAGAGUGGUGAAGUGUGCUGAGUUGCUGAGUGUGUGGAGAGCCAUCCUUUGGAGCAGCGAGCAGCACCACUGCAGGGUGAAAAGGAGUGGAUGAAAACAGGCAAUGCACCUCACAAGACAGAAAAUUAGUCUCUUUGCCAGAGACAUGGUUUGGAUACAGAGGACUGGGCAUCUGGUGCAGCCUACGCAGUGCUGGUGGAUGGGAAGAGACCACUGGCUUGGUCAACUGAGCAGAACAUGCUCUGUGGUGCUCCAGCAGUCCGUGGGGAUCUUGGAUCCUUGAUGGCAGGUCUCCAUGAGGAAUAUUUUGAUUAUUACUGAUUGUAGGUACUGAAAAGAUCAUGACUAUGAGGGUACUCUAUUAGAGAGUGGAAUGUCAGACAAUUUGCUCUCUGAGCUUACUUAUGGUUUUCUUAUUUUUUCUACCUGGUCCUCAGGCAGCACAAGGAAGGAGUUGUUCCACAGAGUGCCUUCUUGAGCUUCUGCCGCUGUGUAAUAUGUAUGAAUUCUACAAAUAUAUGCAUAAAAGAAUUGAAACCUUAAAUAGAGACACUGAAACAAUGUUUAUUGAUACUAUUUAGAAAGGUUUCAAAAACCUGUUUUAAUUAGCAGAAUCUGGAAUCAAAGUUUUGCAUUCUUUGGCAGGAUCAUGGUGAUUAAUUCUUUACCUUUUCUUAGGUAGGUCACAAUACAAUGGAAUUAUACAAGAUGACUUAUGUUAGCAUAACAUUUCAGUUUGUUGUAGUGGGUCUGACACUCUGGCCCACAGCUGAUGACACAGCAUAUGCCUGAAGGGCUAUGGAUCUACUAUCAGUUGUGAGCCUUUGUAAUCCAGUUGCAGUCAAUGAGAAUAGACUGUGGACAGCAGUGUACCCAGCAGAAGCAAGACUGACCAAUGUUUCACCUGUUGGCAGUGUUGGUAUGAAUGGUCCUCUCCUGAAGAUCUGUAGGAGCCAGCAGGAGCACAGUAAACUCCAGAGACUUCUGUAAAAGUCUACAAUGCAAUCUGUUAGUCCUAAAUUGUUUUGUGCUGAAUGGAUCAUUUCUGCAAUUAGGUUUGUAUUGCAGAGAGAAGGCAUUAAAUAAAUGAGUGAGGUGUAGCACUCUGUAACUGCAGACAGAUAUUUUAAAAAAUGUCCUCAGUGGGACCUAAAUUAAGGUUGACCUAUUUGUCAUCUUCACUUCUUUGAGACAGACAUUUACCAUGCUCCUUUACAUACAGUUGCAAUACCCUCUCUGAAUAAGAAAGCCUGGCAGUCAAUUAGGGCUUUGCCUUGAGUGACCUGCCCACUGACUUAAAAGAUUAAAUGAUGAUGCAAUAUAGUAAUUUUUUUAUUGAAAAAUAAUUAUAGAAUGGAUAGAAAUAGAUGUUCCUGACAUGAAGGAGUAAUGGACAAGGAAAAAAAAUGUUCCAGUUAAUCAACAGUGAACUAACUUUUCCUACUCCUUUGCUCAGUAGGAAGUCACUGCUGUGAGACAUUCUGGUGAAAAUCAGUGGUAAGACCUUUUUUUUUUUAGUGGGAAACUCACUUUGUGUUCAGAUUUCACUAGGUGAAACUGAGUAUACUUGGCAGAGCAGAAGUUUGGGGACAGCUCUUUAAAAGGUUGAGUAAACCCAAAACAAGACAAUAAUAAUUGAGCACUGUUCUGCUGAAAUCACUACACAUUGUGGAAUAUUUGAAUAUCUGAUCAGGCUACUUCUCUGCAAUUUCAUUUAUUUAGACAUGAGACUGCCCAUACUCACAAAAUGAGUAUUAUAAGUAUUCCUAAGAAUGAGUCUCCUCCCUUAUGCGUUUUCUGAACCACAUGACCUUUGCAUUGGUACAUCUAGCACUGAGGUCACACAGAGAAGAUCAGGAUAUAUUGCUAUAGAACCUGGGGAUCAGCAAUUCCCUAGGAGGUAUUAUAGGGAGGUAUUCUCCCAGAUUUUUCUUAGCAGUGCAACAUAGAAAAACAGGUAAUAUUACUGGAAUAUAGAGCUAUAACAGCAAACAAACACCCAGCAUACUGAUACUGUCCUGGUGACUACUUAGGGAAAACUUUGUGGAAGCUGCCACUAUAGCAGCAUUUAGGCAGCUGACUGUUCAUGUAAUGCAGGAAGCCUGGAAAGUAUGUAUAGCUUCUAAUCAAACUGAAUUUUCUUAGAAUUAGUAGCAGGAAAAAGAUAAUCUCUACAGCACCACAACUUUGCUCAACUCAUCAAUUUUUAACCUAACUUUUUAUCCACUUCUGUUUCAAUUACUUCGUGUAUUCCUGCUUGUAUUUGUCAGCCUGUGGAGAGAAGAUAGUAUAUGUGGGGGAGAGAUUCAUUUCCUCAGGCUAUUUUUCAAGAUCUGUUAUUUGAUUUUGUGUAUUCCUCUGUAGCUUCACUGGUUUUUUGUAUACCUCAGAAAGAUCUAGAAGAUAUUCUUAGUUCUUCAGCCAAGCAUGCCUGGCAACAAGCUGCAUCUUUUUGUUUAAAAAUGAAGAGGGUUACCCAUCUUUUUUGAAGUGUGAUUGUUACCCCUCUGUUGUCUCAUUUCUGUUUUACAAGACUGCUCAUUGCAAAUGCUCUCUGUUUACUGUUUCAAAGAGACAAGCUGAAUGUGCUGCAUUCAAAUAAACUUAAAAAUAAAAUAUUGAAGGGUAUCUUAAAACAUGUUAAACAUAAUCUGUAAAAGAAAGCCCAGUGAAUUUUGUACCAAAUUUCUGUAAUCAUCACUGCAGCACAUACUGCUGUUUUUUUCCUAAAGCAAAUUAUAUCUAUCCUCUUCACUAAAAUGCAUUAAAUGCUUGACAGUAAUUAUUUUACAUGUUUGCUUUGUUAGCAAGUAAAAUAUUAAGGCUUAAAUACCCCUAAUGGUAGGGACUGACAUCCUGUAGCUUUGACUUAUUUGUAUGUUUCUAAAAAGCCUUCGGAUUUCUUGGUGUUUCAAUAUUAGUCUUUCAUAUUUGAGAAGUUUUUUUUCAAAUAUUUUUCCAUUUGGUUUUAGAGAAAGAUGAAGGUUUUUACUAUGUGUCACUGGGACAAAGCAGAUGGUAGAGAAGGUAAAUGUUUUGAAAUGUCAUUAUUAUUUUGGAGAGUUUUGUUUAGACAAGAAAAAGCAGUUGUAUUUUUUAAUGUAUCAGAGGAUGUAGUGGUAAUUUGCAUUCCUGUACAGCUUUCCAUUUAAGGCUCUGAAAGGCUUUAUAGACAUCAAUAACUAAAUCUUUUUGCACCCAAACUAGGUAAAGAUUAAGAUCCUCAUCUUACAGAUGCAAAAGCUAUGCAGAGACAGAUGAGCUAGCAAGAGCUUUACUCUUUUACCCAUAAACCAGGGCUCUGGUGAAGGUUUUGUUGAGUGAAACAGCACAUGUCAUGGAUGAGAACAGCAAAUUCUUGAGAAAUGUUGUAGACCUAUUUCACUUCAGAAUGUAAGAUCAAAGUUUCUUGAAAUUUUGACUUGUAUUGAAGUAUUUACAUCCUCUUUCUUUUCUCAAAAAGAUCUUACAUCUUCUUGCCAUCUUAUAUCUAAGAAUAUUCUUAAAAUUAUUGUUUGAAAAAAGAACCUUGUCUAUGUGUUCCUGAAGAGAAUCCAGUUUCCAUGAGCUUGGCUCACUUUCUGUUCUUGCUACUUAACACCACAGUUAAUAAUUUACUUAAAAAAUAAAACCUGGAAGCAGAAAAAAUAAAAUCUGGAAACAGAAAUUUGACCUCAUUCCUAGGUGCUGUUGAUGCUGCUGAUUACAUGGAUAUCCAAGUAGUGCCAGUAGAAAAUUGGAAAAAAACCAAACUGCCAAAAGGGCAGAAACUAGAGUGGUGAAUGAGGAUGUGUGGAUCCAUUUUUGCAGAAAAGGACUCAGGAUGAACACGAACCAGCAAUAUGUCCUUGUGGCAUAGCAGAAUCUCAGAGAUGGAAACAUUCAGCUUUAAUGAUCCUGUAGAAAUGUGCUCUUUGCAGGGAGUGUUGGAUUGCACAUGAGAGUGGAGACUUCCUGUCUUCUUGGAACAUAUCAUCCACUGCUACACAGCACUACCUAGCUUUUUUAAUUUAUGAAUUUUAUGUUGUUUGAUCAGUUUCUCUGUAUCCUUGGGAUUAGAAAAGUCAUGUGAGAAUUCUUUUUUUCUUAUUGAGAAGUAAAACUAUAUAUGUUACAUGAUGCCUGGAAAAGGUGAAUAAAAUCUCAUCUCUGUGUUGUUUUAA